UACGAAGGGGGCUAGCGUUGUUCGGAAUCACUGGGCGUAAAGCGCGUGUAGGCGGACUGUUAAGUCGGGGGUGAAAUCCCGAGGCUCAACCUCGGAAUUGCCUUCGAUACUGGCAGUCUUUGAGUCCGGGAGAGGUGAGUGGAACUCCUAGUGUAGAGGUGAAAUUCGUAGAUAUUCGCAAGAACACCAGUGGCGAAGGCGGCUCACUGGCCCGAUACUGACGCUGAGGUGCGAAAGCGUGGGGAGCAAACAGG
This 254-nucleotide ribosomal RNA is filed under the name uncultured bacterium. RNAcentral describes it as "partial 16S ribosomal RNA". It matches the Rfam family "Bacterial small subunit ribosomal RNA", at positions 524 to 776 of the family's 1533-position model. The record is from RNAcentral.